AUGGGUCACGCCCUCUUCAUCGUCGUGCUUCUCCUGGUCGCCGUCGCGGUCGUGCCCUUGGCGCAGGCGCACAACAUCGUCACGGAGGACAAGAAGGCCGCCGAGAAAAAGGCCGAAUCGCCAGCGCCCGCGGCCAGCGCGCCAGCCGACGCGCCCGCCGCCGACUCCCCAGCCUCCGAGCCCUCCGCUGCGGAUGCACCGGAGCCCAGCAGCAGCAGCAGCAGCACCUCCGACUGA
This 237-nucleotide ribosomal RNA is filed under the name Triticum aestivum (bread wheat). RNAcentral's name for it is "partial small subunit ribosomal RNA". Lineage: Eukaryota; Viridiplantae; Streptophyta; Magnoliopsida; Poales; Poaceae. The record is from RNAcentral.